GAUUCUGCCCUACGGGGAAGGAUGAGAAGCUUCGACUAAGGUUCGACUCGAGCGCCAGCGAGAGAACGUUGCCGCAGGCAACGGCCCGAAGGGCGAGGCGCUUUAGCGCCGAGUUAUCCUUCCCCCUCUAUUC
Molecule: small RNA, 133 nt
Filed under: Klebsiella variicola
Lineage: Bacteria; Pseudomonadati; Pseudomonadota; Gammaproteobacteria; Enterobacterales; Enterobacteriaceae
Also listed under: 1 other name
Description: RtT sRNA
Rfam family: RtT RNA
About the family: This family represents a bacterial cis-regulatory element known as RtT RNA.
Source: RNAcentral